Molecule: ribosomal RNA, 305 nt
Filed under: uncultured bacterium
Lineage: Bacteria
Description: bacterial SSU rRNA
Rfam family: Bacterial small subunit ribosomal RNA
Source: RNAcentral
CCUACGGGACGCAGCAGUAGGGAAUUUUCGUCAAUGGGCGCAAGCCUGAACGAGCAAUGCCGCGUGAACGAGGAAGGUCUUCGGAUCGUAAAGUUCUGUUGACGGGGAAAAAGAGCGGAGAGAGGAAAUGGUCUCCGAUUGAUAUUACCCUUCGAGGAAGUCACGGCUAACUCCGUGCCAGCAGCCGCGGUAAUACGGAGGAUGCGAGCGUUAUCCGGAUUUAUUGGGUUUAAAGGGUGCGUAGGCGGAUUUUUAAGUCAGCGGUAAAAUGUCCGGGCUCAACCCGGGCCGGCCGUUGAAACUGG